RNAcentral lists this ribosomal RNA (301 nucleotides) under uncultured bacterium. RNAcentral's name for it is "partial 16S ribosomal RNA". It matches the Rfam family "Bacterial small subunit ribosomal RNA", at positions 509 to 808 of the family's 1533-position model. The record is from RNAcentral.
CAGCAGCCGCGGUAAUACGAAGGGGGCUAGCGUUGCUCGGAAUGACUGGGCGUAAGGGGCGCGUAGGCGGCGAUCAAAGUCAGGCGUGAAAUUCCUGGGCUCAACCUGGGGGCUGCGCUUGAUACUUGGUUGCUUGAGUGGGGAAGAGGGUCGUGGAAUUCCGAGUGUAGAGGUGAAAUUCGUAGAUAUUCGGAAGAACACCAGUGGCGAAGGCGGCUCACUGGACGACUGUUGACGCUGAGGUACGAAAGCGUGGGGGGCAAACAGGAUUAGAUACCCCUGUAGUCCCUGUCUCUAUACC